GCGCCCUUCGUCUAUCGGUUAGGACGACAGAUUUUCAUUCUGUAAAGAGGGGUUCG
This 56-nucleotide transfer RNA is filed under the name Rhizobium sp. CF142. RNAcentral's name for it is "tRNA-Glu". Lineage: Bacteria; Pseudomonadati; Pseudomonadota; Alphaproteobacteria; Hyphomicrobiales; Rhizobiaceae. The record is from RNAcentral.